ACAGAGGGUGCGAACGUUGCUCGGAUUUACUGGGCGUAAAGCGCGUGUAGGCGGACUCGCAAGUCGGUUGUGAAAUCCCUGGGCUCAACCUAGGAACUGCAUCCGAAACUGCUUGUCUUGAGUAAUGGAGAGGGUGGCGGAAUUCCCGGUGUAGAGGUGAAAUUCGUAGAUAUCGGGAGGAACAUCAGUGGCGAAGGCGGCCACCUGGACAUUUACUGACGCUGAGACGCGAAAGCGUGGGGAGCAAACAGG
This 252-nucleotide ribosomal RNA is filed under the name uncultured bacterium. Its description in RNAcentral is "partial 16S ribosomal RNA". It matches the Rfam family "Bacterial small subunit ribosomal RNA", at positions 525 to 776 of the family's 1533-position model. The record is from RNAcentral.